This 358-nucleotide long non-coding RNA is filed under the name Homo sapiens (human). RNAcentral describes it as "HSALNT0153263". Lineage: Eukaryota; Metazoa; Chordata; Mammalia; Primates; Hominidae. The record is from RNAcentral.
CCUGGCCACAUAAUAAGACACCGUCUCUACUGAAAAUACAAAAAUUAGCCAGGCAUGGUGGCAGGCACCUGUUGUCUGUUUACUCUAUUGACGGUGAUGGUUUCUUAUUUUUUUUAAUUUUUUUUUAUUUAAAUUGGUUUUUGGAAAACAGCUGGUGUUUGAUUACAUGAAAAAGUUUUGUUUUUUUUUUUCCUUGAGAUAGACCCUCAUUCCAUAACCCAGGCUGGACUGCAGUGGUAUGAUCUUUGCUCACUGCAACCUCUGUUUUUUUGUUUUGUUUUUUUUAGACGGAGUUUCACUUUUGUUCCCAGGCUGGGGUGCAACAAUGCAAUCUUGGUUCACUGCAGCCUCUGUCUCC